GACGAACGCUGGCGGCGCGCCUAACACAUGCAAGUCGAACGAGGUCUUUUAGAAAAGCUUGCUUUUCUGGCUGACCUAGUGGCGGACGGGUGAGUAACACGUGAGCAACCUGCCCUGGAGUGGGGGACAACACCUGGAAACGGGUGCUAAUACCGCAUAACAUCCUUGGAUAGCAUUAUUUGAGGAUCAAAGGAGAAAUCCGCUUUGGGAUGGGCUCGCGCCCGAUUAGAUAGUUGGUGGGGUAAUGGCCUACCAAGUCUGCGAUCGGUAGCCGGACUGAGAGGUUGAUCGGCCACAUUGGGACUGAGACACGGCCCAGACUCCUACGGGAGGCAGCAGUGGGGGAUAUUGCACAAUGGGGGAAACCCUGAUGCAGCGACGCCGCGUGAGUGAAGACGGCCUUCGGGUUGUAAAGCUCUGUUGUGGGGGACGAAACAAAUGACGGUACCCCAUCAGAAAGCCACGGCUAACUACGUGCCAGCCGCCGCCGUAACAC
Molecule: ribosomal RNA, 496 nt
Filed under: uncultured bacterium
Lineage: Bacteria
Description: bacterial SSU rRNA
Rfam family: Bacterial small subunit ribosomal RNA
Source: RNAcentral